This 241-nucleotide ribosomal RNA is filed under the name uncultured bacterium. RNAcentral's name for it is "partial 16S ribosomal RNA". It matches the Rfam family "Bacterial small subunit ribosomal RNA", at positions 15 to 236 of the family's 1533-position model. The record is from RNAcentral.
GAUCCUGGCUCAGGAUGAACGCUGGCGGCGUGCUUAACACAUGCAAGUCGAACGAAGCACUCUAUUUGAUUUUCUUCGGAAAUGAAGAUUUUGUGACUGAGUGGCGGGCGGGUGAGUAACGCGUGGGUAACCUGCCUCAUACAGGGGGAUAACAGUUGGAAACGACUGCUAAUACCGCAUAAGCGCACAGGAUUGCAUGAUCCGGUGUGAAAAACUCCGGUGGUAUGGGAUGGACCCGCGU